ACAGCAGCAGCCGCGGGAAUACAGAGGGUGCGAGCGUUAAUCGGAUUUACUGGGCGUAAAGCGUGCGUAGGCGGCUUUUUAAGUCGGAUGUGAAAUCCCUGAGCUUAACUUAGGAAUUGCAUUCGAUACUGGGAAGCUAGAGUAUGGGAGAGGAUGGUAGAAUUCCAGGUGUAGCGGUGAAAUGCGUAGAGAUCUGGAGGAAUACCGAUGGCGAAGGCAGCCAUCUGGCCUAAUACUGACGCUGAGGUACGAAAGCAUGGGGAGCAAACAGGAUUAGAUACCCCGGUAGUCCCUGUCUCUUAUAC
This 305-nucleotide ribosomal RNA is filed under the name uncultured bacterium. Its description in RNAcentral is "partial 16S ribosomal RNA". It matches the Rfam family "Bacterial small subunit ribosomal RNA", at positions 505 to 807 of the family's 1533-position model. The record is from RNAcentral.